RNAcentral lists this ribosomal RNA (250 nucleotides) under uncultured bacterium. RNAcentral's name for it is "partial 16S ribosomal RNA". It matches the Rfam family "Bacterial small subunit ribosomal RNA", at positions 803 to 1058 of the family's 1533-position model. The record is from RNAcentral.
UAAACGAUGGAUGUUAAACGUCGGGGCGAUCACCUCGGUGUUGCAGUUAACACAUUAAACAUCCUGCCUGGGUAGUACAUUCGCAAGAAUGAAACUCAAACGGAAUUGACGGGGACCCGCACAAGUGGUGGAGCAUGUUGCUUAAUUCGACGGUACACGAAAAACCUUACCUAGACUUGACAUCCUUGGCAAAACUAUAGAAAUAUAGUCGAGGUUAACCGAGAGACAGGUGGUGCAUGGCUGUCGUCAG